CCAGACUCCUACGGGAGGCAGCAGUGGGGGAUAUUGCACAAUGGGGGGAACCCUGAUGCAGCGACGCCGCGUGGGUGAAGAAGCGCCUCGGCGCGUAAAGCCCUGUCAGCAGGGAAGAAAAUGACGGUACCUGAAGAAGAAGCCCCGGCUAACUACGUGCCAGCAGCCGCGGUAAUACGUAGGGGGCAAGCGUUAUCCGGAUUUACUGGGUGUAAAGGGAGCGUAGACGGUGAAGCAAGUCUGAAGUGAAAGGCGGGGGCUCAACCCCCGGACUGCUUUGGAAACUGUUUGACUGGAGUGCAGGAGAGGUAAGUGGAAUUCCUAGUGUAGCGGUGAAAUGCGUAGAUAUUAGGAGGAACACCAGUGGCGAAGGCGGUCUGCUGGACAGCAACUGACGCUGAGGCGCGAAAGCGUGGGGAGCAAACAGGAUUAGAUACCCUCGUA
This 444-nucleotide ribosomal RNA is filed under the name uncultured bacterium. RNAcentral describes it as "partial 16S ribosomal RNA". It matches the Rfam family "Bacterial small subunit ribosomal RNA", at positions 331 to 792 of the family's 1533-position model. The record is from RNAcentral.